This is a long non-coding RNA of Cyprinus carpio (common carp), 1146 nucleotides long. RefSeq lists it as uncharacterized. NCBI's taxonomy places the organism in Eukaryota, Metazoa, Chordata, Actinopteri, Cypriniformes, Cyprinidae. The record is from RefSeq and is a predicted model, not a curated record.
UAUCAAGCAAAUGCAUCAAAGCACAUUUUCACAAAUAGCUGUCAGCUUUGCCUUGCUGGUGUGUUACAUUUAGGCUGCGGUCAGAGGAAAAUGAAAGAAAAACACUGUAGUUAAAAUAUUUAAUAUUCACAGAUGAAACUUUAGUAGCCUACUUAAUAAGUUAUGUUCACAGCGAGCACAACAUGCUAACUGCUCCCAGGUUCACAGUCCGCGGUUUGAUUUUACAAAAUCAGUUUGGGCGAAUGCAACUUAUUGAUCAUGAGCCAAACAUUUAGCAAGCCAGGAACACAUUCAGUCUACCUGAAGGAAGACGUAUUUCAUUGUAAGUUAAUGCUGUUAAAUAAAGAGAAAAAAAUACAUUAAAAACAAACAAACAAAUUAUAAAAAAAAAAAAAAACACCUACGCUGCGUCCGAAAUCGCAUACUUCCAUACUAUAUAUUUGGUGGGAGAACAGUAUGCGAAGCAAGUAGUAUGUCCGAAUUCUUAGUAUUCGAAAAACAGUAGGCGAGAUGUACCCGGAUGACCUACUACUUCCGCCCGAAUUCCGUAACACGCAUACGAUGGACACUACACUAUCCCAUGAGGCCACGGGAGAGGACUCGUCAUACUGAAAAUAACGGAAAACCGCGACGCGGCUGUUUUGAAGUGGACUGAUGAACACAGCCUUGUUCUCAUCCACGGAUGAAGACUUCUUCACUGAAAGCAUAAUGCUGCAAUCAAAGGGUUUCAGUAAUCAUGCUCUUGAAGAGCUGGCACACUGUUGUCUGGUGUGACACACCUGUGGACAGAUUGUCCCAAACAUGCUCUCCUGUGCUGGCUUCUGUUUCGGGAUUCCAGUGUAUCAUUGUCAUGAUCCUCCACAACUUCUGGAUCAACAAUGUCCUCAUUCAGAAGACCGAGGUCGUGGAGCACCACACAGCAUGCAGCAACAUCUGGCACAAAGGCAGGGCUCACUUCCAGAGCCUUGAAGAAGAAGAAGAUGGAGUGCCAGCUUGUCUUCAGCAUCCUGAAGGCUCUCUCAACAAUGUUCCGUGCACAAGCAUCAUUGGUGUUGAAACAAAGCUGUACAGGUUUCUGUACAGGCUGUCUGUAUGGUGUGAUGAGGCAGGUGGGCACUCAAACAAGGACACUCACCAUCUCCCAGG